ACGGAUGUCCGGCUACCUGAGUCUCCAAUAAACUGAUCGUAUCGUGGAAUCCACAAUCGGACGAUGUUUCCGCAAAUUCCGUGUUCGGAACCUUGUCGAGGUGACAUAAUGUUUUAUCGGACUGCGAGUCUAAAGUCGUCAUCGUUAUUGCACCGUGCGGCACGCAGUAAUUAACUUCUGCAAUUAAAGAGUUGCACCGUUCGCAAAGAUCUUAUCUUCGUUACGAACUCCCACUUCCAACGGUUACACAUAGAAGCUUACUCUAAUUGUCUUCGGCUGUUUUAUUUCCGCCUAUAAAUACAAAUACCAAUGGAUAUAGAAAACUCAGGACAUUACAGACAUAUUGCGAAUAUUAGGAAUUACGGUACUAUAGUGCAUGUGAUCUUUUCGACACGUUAGCGUUGGUAAAACAGAGUGGAACGUAAAAGAAACUUGAAAAAAUGUUCAUGCAACAAUUACAGCCUAAUAUUCACCGAGUUACAUUUAAGGAAAUUAUAGAAACUCAUCAAAAUAAAAUGUCUUGUAUUUCAUUUUUACAAAAAAUAAUUAAGCAUUGAUUUCUCUCAAUAUCAAUAUGUAUGGAUUUACUUUAAAACAAAAAAGGUUUUGCUAAAAGCAAAUAUACUAGUAGCUAUAAAA
Molecule: non-coding RNA, 639 nt
Organism: Megalopta genalis
Lineage: Eukaryota; Metazoa; Arthropoda; Insecta; Hymenoptera; Halictidae
Source: RefSeq, a predicted model, not a curated record